Carassius auratus (goldfish) is the source of this 688-nucleotide long non-coding RNA. RefSeq lists it as uncharacterized. The transcript has 3 exons. The record is from RefSeq and is a predicted model, not a curated record. Lineage: Eukaryota; Metazoa; Chordata; Actinopteri; Cypriniformes; Cyprinidae.
GUGUUUAAUCAGACUGUGGCGUCUUCCUCAUUCAGAGGUGUGGGGAAGCCAAUCGACAGUUGUGGACAGAACAACUUAACUGGCUGCAGGGAAUUCGUCACCGCCAUCCGGUUAUGUUUACAUAGAGGAACUGGCCAGGUUCUCUCUCUGUCUAGAGAUGAAUGAUGGCGAGCUGAAUUACUAUGGCUAGGAGCCUAACAUCUGAGCAGCAUCUACUAAUACAGGUUGUCUGCAGCCUGUCCCCAACACACGUCUCCAUAGACUAGCGCUUCAGUCCCACAUGCACAUCCUUUCCCUGGACAAUAACCAAUGGACUUAUUAAUAUACAUUCUCAUAAAACUCUUGUGGGUUUGUCGUGUUAGUCUUCAAGAAACCAAACAUCGCUGGGACAGUUUUUUCCUCUUUUUCUUUUUGCUCUUGUGUGUGGUAUUUGCUGUAAUUUCUGUUGUUAUAUCUUACUUGAACAAUAACCUCAAAGUGCACUUGAUUUAUAUUUGGUUGAACUGCAGUCUGUAAAUAUUUUGUGUUUUUCCUAUGUUUUUUCUUUCAUUAUUUUUGGUUGUAAAUAUUGUUUAAUCACUUUAAUACAUGGUACCUACACCAAAUUUAAAAUCAUGUUUCUGUGUUACUGACCAACAGCUCCUAUAGCAGAAUUUAGACUUCUGUGAUUUAACUAGCCUAUAUUGCU